This 253-nucleotide ribosomal RNA is filed under the name uncultured bacterium. RNAcentral describes it as "partial 16S ribosomal RNA". It matches the Rfam family "Bacterial small subunit ribosomal RNA", at positions 524 to 776 of the family's 1533-position model. The record is from RNAcentral.
UACAGAGGGUGCGAGCGUUAUUCGGAAUUACUGGGCGUAAAGAGAGUGUAGGCUGUUUGGUAAGUCUGAUGUGAAAGCCCUAGGCUCAACCUAGGAAGUGCAUUGGAUACUGCCAGACUGGAGUACGAGAGAGGAAAGCGGAAUUCCUGGUGUAGAGGUGAAAUUCGUAGAUAUCAGGAGGAACAACGGAGGCGAAGGCGGCUUUCUGGAUCGUAACUGACGCUAAGGCUCGAAAGCGUGGGUAGCAAACAGG